UGGGGAGUGGCGCAAUGGUAGCGCAACGGUUUUUGGUACCGCAGGUUGCAGGUUCGAAUCCUGCCUCCCCAGCCA
This 75-nucleotide transfer RNA is filed under the name Paracoccaceae bacterium. RNAcentral's name for it is "Rhodobacteraceae bacterium tRNA-Gln". It matches the Rfam family "tRNA". From Rfam's summary of the family: Transfer RNA (tRNA) molecules are approximately 80 nucleotides in length. Their secondary structure includes four short double-helical elements and three loops (D, anti-codon, and T loops). Further hydrogen bonds mediate the characteristic L-shaped molecular structure. tRNAs have two regions of fundamental functional importance: the anti-codon, which is responsible for specific mRNA codon recognition, and the 3' end, to which the tRNAs corresponding amino acid is attached (by aminoacyl-tRNA synthetases). tRNAs cope with the degeneracy of the genetic code in two manners: having more than one tRNA (with a specific anti-codon) for a particular amino acid; and 'wobble' base-pairing, i.e. permitting non-standard base-pairing at the 3rd anti-codon position. Lineage: Bacteria; Pseudomonadati; Pseudomonadota; Alphaproteobacteria; Rhodobacterales; Paracoccaceae. The record is from RNAcentral.